This 725-nucleotide ribosomal RNA is filed under the name Triticum aestivum (bread wheat). RNAcentral's name for it is "partial small subunit ribosomal RNA". The record is from RNAcentral. Lineage: Eukaryota; Viridiplantae; Streptophyta; Magnoliopsida; Poales; Poaceae.
GUCCAUGUCACGGCUAGCGCACGCGUCCGUCAUCGGGCGACCCUCCUCGCGGGCUAAGAGCAUCCUCGACCCCCCCGGACAAACCCUAACCCACUAGCCCCUCUCCCCCUCAGUUCCUCCCCUUCCCCAUAGCCCGCAACCGAGCUGCCGUGGCCAUGGUCGUCGUCGUCGUCGCGGCCACCGACUUCCCCGGCGCCUGAAAAGAUGUCCGGAGCUGCGUCAUGGACGUCUCCUUCGACUAGUGCUACCGGUUCGAGCGGGGAAGCACUACAUCACCGGGAUCGACGCGACUUCCUCGCCUACGGCUGCCGCUGCCCCGCGCCCGAUCUACCUCACCGGAGCUCCUUCGCCAUGCCGGCCGCGUCCUCCGCUUCCCCCACCUCGAGACCGACGCUGAUGCCUCUGAGUACGACUACGUCAACGACGACCCCUCCUUGCCAGAGCAACCAGAUAUCGGAGCCCAGGAGCCAGAUGCGACCGUCGAUGCCUACUACUAUGUGGAGACCGUCGAUGACCAGGAGUAGUUAGGAGGCUCCCAGGCAGGAGGCCUUGCCUUUUCGAUCGUUGCUACUUUUGUGCUAGCCUUCUUAAGGCAAACUUGUCUAACUCUUGUCUGUACUCAGAUAUUGUUGCUUCCGCUGACUCUUGUGUAUUCGAGUUUAUGUAUUCGAGCCCUCGAGGCCCCUGACUUGUAAUAUAAAGCUUGUAUUAUUUUAAUUUGUGUC